AAUCAGGGAGGAGCUGUAAGUGGAAUCUGAUGUAAGAAGUCCAUCUGUCACCUGU
This 55-nucleotide non-coding RNA is filed under the name Ctenophora environmental sample. Lineage: Eukaryota; Metazoa; Ctenophora. The record is from RNAcentral.